Molecule: unclassified non-coding RNA, 158 nt
Filed under: uncultured Helotiales
Lineage: Eukaryota; Fungi; Ascomycota; Leotiomycetes; Helotiales
Description: sequence contains ITS1
Source: RNAcentral
CAGAGAAUCUCGCCCUUCUGGGUGACUCUCCAACCCUAUGUUAUCUAUCCAUGUUGCUUUGGCGAGCCGCUUCGGCCACUGGCUUUCAGCUGGUGUGUGCUCGCCAGAGGACCCUAAACUCUGAAUUAUAAUGUCGUCUGAGUACUAUAAAAUAGUUA